Molecule: long non-coding RNA, 1085 nt
Filed under: Salmo salar (Atlantic salmon)
Lineage: Eukaryota; Metazoa; Chordata; Actinopteri; Salmoniformes; Salmonidae
Description: lncRNA (ENSSSAG00000113650.1)
Source: RNAcentral
GCAUGUUACAAAUAUCCAUCACAAAGGCCCUGUGAGCCAUAACAAGCACAUUAUUUUCGCAGAACGUCAUGCUUUUGUGAAUUUGAAUUGUCCUCCUGCUUGUGAAUGCUUGUAUUGUCUGCCUGCAUCAUUCCAGAUACUCUGGAAGAACCUUAAACUGGCUUUAAAAGAGAGAAUGCAGAGAUCAGAAGAGAGCGAUUAACUACUGGUGGUGGACCACCAAAAAAAGACAUGACUGAUGAAUUGAGCGACUUGCUGUCUGGAGUAAUAGAGCACCAGCAACCUCUGGAUGGUAUACCAGAUGAUGACCAACCUCUGGAUGGUAUACCAGAUGAUGACCAACCUCUGGAUGGUAUACCAGACGAUGACUAUUUGGACAGUUCAGAUGAAGAACUGAGCACAAAUGGUACAUAUACGAAAGAAAGUAAAUUGGUUACUUCCUUGGGUUAAUAUAUUCCCCUGUCUGUGUCAAUCUUGAUUCUUCUUUCAUUCUAAGGAUCAUAUGAGUUUAUUUGUGCUUCUAACAGUGUUCUUUUUCCAGAGGAAAGCAAUCUGAACAGGUUGGAAGAGCCAGUGCAGUGAGUGUGUACCCUCCAACCAUGUGUAUGUGACAAAUACAUUUGAUUUGAUUUGAUCUGCUAUAGCAUCCCUGAGAGAAGAUGCUGCCACCACCUUUCAGCAGAGAACAAAAAAGAUGACCAUGCAUUAAAAGUUAACCAGAGAAUUUCAUGAGCAUGAAAUGAAAUAUCUGAAGGAAGAACAUGAAAUGAAAAUAAGAAUUCUACAGGUUGUAUUGGAUAUGAAGUUGGAAGAGAAAAAAAAGAUACAGUAAUGAGACAAUUGUGAUUACCAGCCAUGGUGAACAAUUUGAUAUGUAAAAAAUAAAUGUUUUGUCAUUUGGAUAUUCAUGAGUGAGAGUAUUUUAAUCACCACAAACUACAUUUUAAACCAGCCUUGGUUUAGCCACUCAUUUAAUUUUGCUGCACACUAUUUUAAUUUUGUACAGAACCAACAUUAUCAAAGCAAAAAUAAGCUAUAAUGAAUACAUAACAUAUUUAAAUGUAUCUCAUCUAGUUGAAGUGCUG